GAUGAACGCUGGCGGCGUGCUUAACACAUGCAAGUCGAACGGGGUGUCGAGAGCUUGCUCUUGACACUUAGUGGCGAACGGGUGAGUAACGCGUGAGAAACCUGCCUCUCAGUGGGGGACAACAGUUGGAAACGACUGCUAAUACCGCAUAACGUAUUCGGAGGGCAUCCUCUGAAUACCAAAGCUUUAUGUGCUGAGAGAUGGUCUCGCGUCUGAUUAGCUAGAUGGCGGGGUAACGGCCCACCAUGGCGACGAUCAGUAGCCGGUCUGAGAGGUUGAACGGCCACAUUGGGACUGAGAUACGGCCCAGACUCCUACGGGAGGCAGCAGUCGGGAAUAUUGCGCAAUGGGGGAAACCCUGACGCAGCAACGCCGCGUGCAGGAAGAAGGUCUUCGGAUUGUAAACUGUUGUCGCAAGGGAAGAAGACAGUGACGGUACCUUGUGAGAAAGUCACGGCUAACUACGUG
RNAcentral lists this ribosomal RNA (468 nucleotides) under uncultured bacterium. Its description in RNAcentral is "bacterial SSU rRNA". It matches the Rfam family "Bacterial small subunit ribosomal RNA", at positions 28 to 507 of the family's 1533-position model. The record is from RNAcentral.